GAAACCUUUGGUUCUCCACUCCACCUUGAGUCCCUAAACCAGCCAAGUAGUCAUUCCUCUCAUUGUUUUUAUCUAUCCCUCUUGGAUUUUAACUCUCAUGCCGCCCUCUCAAGCUCCGACCUCUAUUUCGCAGCUCUUAGGUUGCCAUCAUCCUCCUCAAUCCUCUUCGGCUUGAGCCUUCGCCAAUAGCUUGACCUUGACAUGACGACACCUUUUCCUCUUGCUUUAAUGAUGCAUAUACAUCGCCUCAACUCAACACACUCGCCUCAAGGAGUCUCUCUC
Molecule: unclassified non-coding RNA, 282 nt
Filed under: Hevea brasiliensis (rubber tree)
Lineage: Eukaryota; Viridiplantae; Streptophyta; Magnoliopsida; Malpighiales; Euphorbiaceae
Source: RNAcentral